CAGAUGGGAGAGUAAAAUAGAAUGAAGGAAAGGGUAUGGCUUUGCCCCCUCUUUUUUUUUCUUCCAUGAGAUCUAACUAGACUGGAAGGGUUUGACAAACAAUUAACAAUCCUUCCCACUCAGCUGCUGUUUCCCAAAAUAGCAUCUCCUUGGCUGCCAGGGUAGAUGGGGGCCUUCCGGGGAGGAAGGCACAAAGGUGCCCUCUUUAUGAAGCCUGCAUCUCUAUGAGAUCUUGAAGGCAGAGGGAGAAGCCCAGGGGAUUAAAUUAGCAGGCAGCCCAGGCUCCACCUGGAAGGGAAACAGAUAAUAGGCUUUAAAGACAGGAAACAGCUUGUGCUCCAAAAUAAUAAUUUUCGAAAGCAACACAUGAUGGAUGCUGGGAAGGUUUUCUCCCCACCUCACACCCCCAGUUCAUAAUUUCGAAGCAAAAUCUCUGUUUAAGAUGCAAUUCGCGGCUUGACUUUGUCAAACGUCUUAAAGAAGAAAAAUACCUCAUGGAGUGAAGGGAUAUUCUGGAGACCGGAGAAGGACUUUUAGAGUAAAGAGAGGAAUAUAUGCUGUUAUAUUUCCAAAGGACCCUCCCACAAAGGCAUCUGCGGCUGACUCAAAUAAAACCUGUGGUUGGCCUAGACAUUGUCAUGGUUCCUGGCCUCUCCUGUAAGAAGACAGUGAGAGGUGAGCAGCGUUCCAACCCCACCAGCUAUGCUGGAAAUGGUCUCUGGGGCCAGUGAAGGAUUUGACGCCCCCACCUCCACACACCCUCAACCGCUCUCCCUGUGGAGCAGAGUGGGCACACUUAAGGUG
Molecule: long non-coding RNA, 804 nt
Organism: Bos taurus (domestic cattle)
Lineage: Eukaryota; Metazoa; Chordata; Mammalia; Artiodactyla; Bovidae
Source: Ensembl